CUGGACAUGAUGCUUAAUCUUUGUUUGGUUACUUCAAUUGUCACUCAAAAACUUGGCAUUGGUGGGUUCAGUAUGGGUGCUGCAACUGCAUUGUACCCUGCCUCUUGCUUCACACAUGGAAAAUACGAAAAUGGCAGUCUAUAGACUCUAAUACCCCAUAAACUUCAGUGCAGUCAUUGGCCUCAGUGGCUGGCUUCCAUGCUCAAGGUCUGUUCUAUCUUAAAAUGUCCAAUGUUUGAUCUAUGAAAAUAUCACAUCUAUCGAAUUCUCGGCAUGUGAAUAAAAAAUGCAAGAAAAUAUGCAUGUUCCACUCACCCAGGAGCUUGAACACUAAGGUGGAAAGCUCACAUGAUGCUGCAAGGUGAGCUGCCUCCUUGCCAGUUCCAUUGUGUCAUGGAAGAGGUACCUUCUCUGUCACAGAAGAACAUGAUUAGAUAACUUCGAUAUGCAGUUAUCUUGCAAUAAAUGUGGAGAAGAAUUGAUAAGCCAAAAGAUGUGAACGUUACUGUUUGAUUCGUUUUGCCAUACCAACAGGAGCUCAGAAUCCUGAUUUGGAUGCACACAAUUUACCAUGAGUUUGUUUCAGGUGAUGGAGUGGUUCCGUAUAAACACGGGAAAAUUCUGGAGAGGUUCUAAGAGUGUUUGGGUUCAGAAAUCUCACGUUCAAGACCUUUUACAAUGGGUAUGUCUCUGAUGCUGUUGUUGUUGUUCCAUCGAUUCAUAUUUCUGACUUCUGAAAACUAGAUUC
Molecule: long non-coding RNA, 748 nt
Filed under: Musa acuminata (dwarf banana)
Lineage: Eukaryota; Viridiplantae; Streptophyta; Magnoliopsida; Zingiberales; Musaceae
Description: long non-coding RNA (MACU_LNC000108)
Source: RNAcentral